GAAGGGAUAGCUCAGGGGGAGAGUGUGUGCUUAGCAUGCACAAGAUCCUGGGUUCAAUCCCUAGUACCUCCU
RNAcentral lists this transfer RNA (72 nucleotides) under Camelus bactrianus (Bactrian camel). It matches the Rfam family "tRNA". From Rfam's summary of the family: Transfer RNA (tRNA) molecules are approximately 80 nucleotides in length. Their secondary structure includes four short double-helical elements and three loops (D, anti-codon, and T loops). RNAcentral also lists the same sequence under 2 other names. The record is from Rfam by way of RNAcentral. Lineage: Eukaryota; Metazoa; Chordata; Mammalia; Artiodactyla; Camelidae.